AUUGAACGCUGGCGGCAGGCCUAACACAUGCAAGUCGAGCGGAUGAAGGGAGCUUGCUCCUGGAUUCAGCGGCGGACGGGUGAGUAAUGCCUAGGAAUCUGCCUGGUAGUGGGGGAUAACGUCCGGAAACGGGCGCUAAUACCGCAUACGUCCUGAGGGAGAAAGUGGGGGAUCUUCGGACCUCACGCUAUCAGAUGAGCCUAGGUCGGAUUAGCUAGUUGGUGGGGUAAAGGCCUACCAAGGCGACGAUCCGUAACUGGUCUGAGAGGAUGAUUAGUCACACUGGAACUGAGACACGGUCCAGACUACGACGGGGGGCAGCAGUCGGGAAUAUUGGACAAAGGGCGAAAGCGUGAUCCAGCCAUGCCGCGUGUGUGAAGAAGGUCUUCGGAUUGUAAAGCAAUUUAAGUUGGGAGGAAGGGCAGUAAGUUAAUACCUUGCUGUUUUGACGUUACCAACAGAAUAAGCACCGGCUAACUUCGUG
This 484-nucleotide ribosomal RNA is filed under the name uncultured bacterium. Its description in RNAcentral is "partial 16S ribosomal RNA". It matches the Rfam family "Bacterial small subunit ribosomal RNA", at positions 30 to 507 of the family's 1533-position model. The record is from RNAcentral.